Molecule: ribosomal RNA, 253 nt
Filed under: uncultured bacterium
Lineage: Bacteria
Description: partial 16S ribosomal RNA
Rfam family: Bacterial small subunit ribosomal RNA
Source: RNAcentral
UACGUAGGGGGCAAGCGUUGUCCGGAUUUAUUGGGCGUAAAGAGCUCGUAGGCGGCUCGUUGCGUCGGCUGUGAAAACCCGCAGCUCAACUGUGGGCUUGCAGCUGAUACGGGCGGGCUGGAGUUCGGUAGGGGAGACUGGAAUUCCUGGUGUAGCGGUGAAAUGCGCAGAUAUCAGGAGGAACACCGGUGGCGAAGGCGGGUCUCUGGGCCGAUACUGACGCUGAGGAGCGAAAGCGUGGGGAGCGAACAGG